CACAUUCAGAUACUAUAGAAAGACUGUUUCAAACCUGCUCUAUGAAAGGGAAUGUUCAACUCUGUGACGUGAAUGCAGAUAUCACAAAGCAGUUUCUGAGAAUGUUUCUGUCUAGGUUUUCUAUGAAGAUACUCCCGUUUCCAACGAAAUCCACAAAGCCAUCCAAAUAUCCACUUGCAGAUUCUACAAAAAUCGUGUUUCCAAACUGCUCUGUCAAACGAAAUGUUCAACUCUGUGAGUUGAGGACACACAUCACAAACAAGUUUCUGCGAAUGCUUCAGUCUAGUUUGCAUGGGAAGAUAUU
RNAcentral lists this long non-coding RNA (304 nucleotides) under Homo sapiens (human). RNAcentral describes it as "HSALNT0393249". Lineage: Eukaryota; Metazoa; Chordata; Mammalia; Primates; Hominidae. The record is from RNAcentral.